Molecule: long non-coding RNA, 1668 nt
Organism: Mauremys reevesii (Reeves's turtle)
Lineage: Eukaryota; Metazoa; Chordata; Testudines; Geoemydidae
Exons: 4
Source: RefSeq, a predicted model, not a curated record
GUCUUCAUUGAACCAGAAAGUACCAAGUCACCAGGAGGAAUUUUGGGACAGUGGAAUAAUUGCUCAUGACACAUGGGUUAACCCGCCUUUUCUAACAGAUCUGUAACAACGGGUGGUCAGGACAACACUGUUUCAAACCUCAUCUGACGGAUGUACCUCCGGCAGCUCAAUGCCCCCUACCAACAGGCUCAUCAACCACACUGCCAAGAGAGGAGCUUUGGCUCCUGAAAUUCAUUAUGAUGGGAGACUACAUUAGACUAUUGUGGGUGACACAGCCGUGAGAUCUGAGAAGCGAAAUUGCCCUGGGCAGGACCAUUUCAGCCUUCUUCUCCAGCUCUCUUUCACUUUCUGCAACAAGCUAUCCCCUGAAAGAGCAUUAUAGCUAGCAGUAUUAAAUAUUUACCUUGCAUCUGUCCAAUUGUUAGAUCUUUAUCCAGCCUGUCAACACCUGGAAUAAAGCAAACAGAUGUGUUAGGGAGAAGCCAGGGAGAGAGUGUCUAGUCGGGUCCUGCUAAGACUUUGCAAAAGAUGUUUGGUGUGAAAAAUGGAACAGAAACAGCAUCUCGACACUUACUAGGCUGUUUCCCUGCUGCAAAUCAGGAGCAUACAGUGACAGAAGAGGAUCACUGCCAAGAACUUGAAGGAACAUUCAUCCAUCCAUCCUCCCAGACAUCUUUAAAUGGCACUCAACUAUGGGAGACUCAGUGUUCCCGAUCACAGGGGACUGGAGGGCGAUAGGGAUUGGUCUUGGACUACUGAUCCUUUCACCUUCAGGUCACGAGUUCAAAUCCAGCCCAGGUCUGCAGUAACUAAGUGAUUAGUCCUGUGGGUUGGCUUGGGUCUCAGUCCUGUUCCUAGCAGAACAUUGGCUCAAUCCUACAAUUGCAACACCUGUCAGACAGCUGAGACAAUGUCACAAUACACACAUCUAAUCCCACAAUUCCCAUGUGCAUGUUGCAGAGGAGGAAGUAGAGGCAGAGACACUAAAUGACUUGCCCCGUCUCUCAAAGUACAUAGAAGGGCCAGGAUAGAAGCCAGACCUAUUAUGCCCAGACCACUAUCUUACCUUCCCACCUCUAAAAUACAGGCUGAAUGUUAUCAAAGUGAAUGACCGCUCUAAUUAGGGAGAAAAAGGAAACACCUACCCGCUAAAAGCAGCAGCUUUGGAGUAGAACAACUGAGGAAGAGGUUAGAUAAGCCCCUGAACCACCCAUCCCAGUACUUUUCUGUUUUCGACAGUUCGAUUCGCCAUGUAUACAGAUGUUCUUUCUUUGUCUACAAGGGGAUAAAGAGCUCAGUGUUAGUAUUCAACUGAAACAACGAGUGUAGAAUUAAAUCAGCAAAGCGCGACUCGGAAGAUAAAGUAAAAGCACAGAGUCAAAUGCUGACGUGACUCUAAUGUCAGUUUGUCCCCCAUACAUGGCCCUAACUAGGCAACCUUGCUCGGCAGACUGGAUUAUCUGCUUAAUCCUAACCGUGCUCACUCCACGUCACAGUAAAUUAAUGGGUCUGCACAUGCUGUACCUGGUGUGUUGAGCAAGAGACACCUUCAAUUUCCAGGACUGUCAAUCUGCCGUCUUUCACUGGAACUAAACAUUCACACACAAAAACACCUGGACCUGUCCGUCAGCGAAGCCUGGGCAAGAUACAGUUUUGCAGCACCGUGCA